UGCAUUCACUACUGUAAGUCGCUCUGGAUAAGAGCGUCUGUUAAUGACUCAAA
Salmo salar (Atlantic salmon) is the source of this 53-nucleotide non-coding RNA. The record is from Rfam. Lineage: Eukaryota; Metazoa; Chordata; Actinopteri; Salmoniformes; Salmonidae.